CCCUUAGAUGUUCUGGGCUGCACGCGCGCUACACUGACACACUCAGCGAGUCUCCUGGCCCGAGAGGGUUGGGUAAUCAUGUGAGCGUGUGUCGUGAUGGGGAUAGAAUAUUGUAAUUAUUGCUCUUCAACGAGGAAUUCCCAGUAAGUACAAGUCAUAAGCUUGCGCUGACUACGUCCCUGCCCUUUGUACACACCGCCCGUCGCUACUACCGAUUGAAUGAUUUAGUGAGGACUUCGGACUGGGACCGAUGCGGCUUUCGGGCUGCGUCGGUAUUCUGGAAAGAUGUCCAAACUGUAUCAUUUAGAGGAAGUAAAAGUCGUAACA
Molecule: ribosomal RNA, 327 nt
Filed under: uncultured eukaryote
Lineage: Eukaryota
Description: partial 18S ribosomal RNA
Rfam family: Eukaryotic small subunit ribosomal RNA
Source: RNAcentral